CCCUUAGAUGUCCUGGGCUGCACGCGCGCUACACUGGAAGUUACGGAUUGAGAUACUACCUUGUCCGAAAUGGUCCGGGUAAUCACCUAAAAGCUUGUCAUAAUUGGAAUGGAUUAUUGUAACUAGUAAUCCUGAACGAGGAAUUCCUAGUAAGUCCCAGUCAACAGCUGGUACUGAUUACGUCCCUGCCCUUUGUACACACCGCCCGUCGCUACUACUGACUGGACGUUUAAGCAAGAUUUUUAAACACUGACAGUGUGUAGUUCACGCUAUACUACAGUGAGAAGAAGAAGAUCGAGCUUACUUGUCUAGAGGAAGUAAAAGUCGUAACA
RNAcentral lists this ribosomal RNA (332 nucleotides) under uncultured eukaryote. Its description in RNAcentral is "partial 18S ribosomal RNA". It matches the Rfam family "Eukaryotic small subunit ribosomal RNA", at positions 1470 to 1796 of the family's 1831-position model. The record is from RNAcentral.